Long non-coding RNA from Drosophila montana, 3082 nucleotides. RefSeq lists it as uncharacterized. NCBI's taxonomy places the organism in Eukaryota, Metazoa, Arthropoda, Insecta, Diptera, Drosophilidae. The record is from RefSeq and is a predicted model, not a curated record. The transcript is spliced from 3 exons.
UAAAAAUUAAUUAAUAUAAUAAUAUGGCUUAUUACGAACAGAAACCUAAAAAACAAAAACUGAAUCACUAUCUUGAACCUAACAUUACGAGUAGUGGCGGGUAUACUUCAUUUAAACACAUUACGGCUAAUAGCAACCAAAAUGAGCCUAAUAACUUUUUCGACAGACUGAACGUUUAUUGUAUUUAUGAAAUACUCAAACAGAUUAAAAUCGAAUGUGAAUCAUCAAAAAUACCGAUUAGAUCGGAUGAAGUGAAAUACAAAGAUCUCAUUAAUUUUGCGAUUGCUUUUGAAUGUAUUCGCGAUUCGUUUUCGGAAUGGAACCCCAAACUUUACGAAAGCCUUGAAAUUGAAACAAUUAUUUAAGUGAAUCUAAGGAAGUCAUCGUUAAUUUUGUAAAGCUUCAUGAACGUCUUCGCGAAUCAACGGAAAAGGACAAAGAAGCAUUUUGGAAAAUGUAUACGUAUGCAUUUAAAUCGAAUAGAAAGUUACAAAGAGUCGAAUUUAUAUACAGGGAUAAUGAUACAUAUUGCAGUGAACAUAUGGAAAGAUUUGAGCAACUCAUAGGUGCACUUAAGAACAGAUCUAUGGAGAGUUUAAUUAUUGAUAUGAAAGGCUAUUCUGUUAGAUACUUGGAAGAAUUCCCUAAAGUUGUGCAUCUCUGUUUGUACAAUGUACAAAUUAAUGCUGAUGAGUUGGUCGAGUAUUGCAAGUCAAAUCCAAACCUGACAUACUUAGCGAUUAUAAGUAAUGAAAUUUACGGAAAGUUAACUGACAUUGUACCAUAUUGCAACAAAUUGAAGAUACUUUCAUUUAAGGCAAAAAGUUACUUUAAUGACUCUGAAUAUACUGAGUUUGCCAAAUUGCCAAAUUUAUGUAUUUACGAAUAAAAGGAGAACAUGAAAAUGAUUCCACGGAAACUGAGCUAAUCGAUGAUCCGCCACCUUUUGAUUUUCCAUUGGAUUAUCAAUUGCCUCAAAUCAAUGAAUUAACCACAAGAAAGCGCGAAGACGGAUCUCUGACAAAUUUGUUCCGUGCAUUUGCAUUGCAAGAAGACACACAACUUAGUCACUUAAAAAUAACGAGUUUCCAUCUCUACUUCGAAGAGAUUUCGGAAAUUGCCAAAAUAAAAUCUUUAACCGAUUUUUCUUGUGAAUUUGAUCACCUCACAUGGCUUAGGGGCGAUAGUUUUAUGGAAAUUUUUAAUCUUUUCAUAGCACGUAAUAUAAAAUGCAGUAUAAAUUUUUUAAAUGAUGGCAUAAGCAUUGAAUGCGGUUUGGGAGAACUAAAAAUUGAUAUGGAGAAUAAAAAAUGUCCUGCAGAUUUAACACCUUUAGCAAAUUUGCCCAAUAUUGCUUUGUCUGCAUUUAUAUGGAAAUGAUGAAAACUCCUUAAACCUGAUGAAAGCAUUUUCCUCCAAACAAUCUACGAUUCUUCAAAAAUUGAUCAUAUGUAAUGCAUCUUAUAACGAGAUUGAACAAAUUUCUCAAAUUAAAACAUUAAGAUAUAUAAAAACUGCGUUCUCCGAUCCUCAAAGCAUUAAUAUUUUAGCAAAUUUGCCUAAUCUUGAAAUAUUGGAAAUUAAUUCACAACACGAGUUUCGUGAUACAUCGAAAUAUGUUAUAAAUGUUCUUAUGGGAGGUGCAAAUGAAAUAUGUGUUAUUCAAAAUGACCAACAUAUCAAGUUUAAUAAAAGUCUGGGUAAACUGACAAUUUUGUACGACCCUUUUAACUAUUUAAGCUUCGAUGAAAGAUCAUUUAAAUAUUUAUUUCAAGCAUUUGCCGCAAAAAAGUGUUCAGAUCUUCAGGAAAUAAUCGUGGAUGGUAAAAUUGACAUUAACCUUGAGCAAACGAAAGAAUUAACCAAAAUAUUAUCUCUAAAAAAACUAAAAUGCGGCUUUUCAGAUGAGAAUAGCGUUGAGCUCUUGGCGCAGCUAACAAACCUUAAAGAACUCGUGAUAUUAAAUCAUAAAGAACGUUCCCUAAAUCAGUUCCUCCAGACUCUAGUCUCGCGAGAAUCGUCGUGUCUUCAAUGUUUGACCAUAAAAGAAAGGCACUUUCUUCUGAAGAAACAGCUCUAGUUGCAAAAGUUAAAUCAUUAAAGAAAUUAGAAUGUGGAUUCGAUUAUGAAGAAGCUAUUGAAAAACUGGCUCAAUUGAAUCAACUCGAAGAACUAGUUAUAAAUCGUAUUGAAAAGAAAUCAAAGCAGCUUUUUCAGAUAUUGACUUCUAGCGUACCACAAACUCUUCAUCAUUUGAGUAUACAAUUCACAUCAUUAUCAUAUAACAAAACUUUGGCUGUUGUAGGAAUUAAAUCCCUACGAAGUUUGCAUUGUAAAUUCGCUGAUAUUAAUAGCAUAGAACUAUUAGUUGAACUACCAGAGCUUGAAAAACUCUCUAUUAGAUUUAUUUGGUCAUUUCAUAGUAAUAACGAAAGCAUUAAAAGCCUGGCAAAGUUAAAUAAGUUAACUCAUCUUGAAAUUACAUCAUUCUAUUACUGCAAUCUUACGAAGCUUUUUGCAGAAAUAUCGUCAAGGUCAUCGCCGAUCCUACAAAACUUGGUCAUUAAUGGAUUUGAUGUUGAUGAAGACGAUAUUCAAGAAAUUAUAAAAAUUACUUCACUUCGAAGACUUAAAUGUGGAUUCAGCCAAAUCGAAAGCUACCAAUAUAUUAACAUAUUUAAAAAAUCUAGAAGUGCUUGAAAUACUUUCGAGGUAUAGAUUUGAUGAUAUAUCGCAAAGCCUUUUAGCGAUUUUUCAAGAGUGUCGCAAUCUAAAAGCUAUAGAUAUUUAUAGGCGCAAUGUUUAUUCACGCGUUAGUCUGGAAUUUGUUAAUGAAGCUUUAAAGAUCCUAAAAGCAGUAAGAAAUCCCGAGGAACAAGGUCCAUUAGAGUUGCGUCUUAACUCAUUUCGAGGUUUCUGGCCUGAGCUUGCUGAUGAAGUAUAUUUGAAAAUGUCUGAUUUUGAUUAUGAUGAUCCUGAUACUGACACUGAUACUGAUUCUGAUACUGAUACUGAUACUGAUGCUGAUGCUGAUGCUGAUGCUGAUGCUGAUGCUGAUGCUGAUGCUGAUGCUGAUGCUGAU